Molecule: non-coding RNA, 76 nt
Organism: Symsagittifera roscoffensis
Lineage: Eukaryota; Metazoa; Xenacoelomorpha; Acoela; Convolutidae
Source: the annotation of a RefSeq genome assembly
GCCCGCGGGGCCUAAUGGAUAAGGCGUCUGGCUCCUAACCAGAAGAUUGCGAGUUCGAAUCUCGCCGCGGUUAGUA